Molecule: ribosomal RNA, 485 nt
Filed under: uncultured bacterium
Lineage: Bacteria
Description: partial 16S ribosomal RNA
Rfam family: Bacterial small subunit ribosomal RNA
Source: RNAcentral
ACUCAAAUGAAUUGACGGGAGCUUGCACAAGCGGUGGAGCGUGUGGCUCAAUUCGUCGCUAAACGAAGAACCUUACCAGGACUAGAAAUCCUACUGCACGCCCGGUGAAAGCCGGGAAGCCUUCGAGGGUGUAGGACAGGUGAUGCAUGGCUGUCGUCAGUUCGUGGUUUGAAUCGUUCCCUUCAGUGGGGUAACGAACGCAACCUUCGUUGCCUGUUACAAGUGUCAGGCGAGACUGCCCCCUCACGGGGGAGGAAGGUGGAGAUGACGCCAAGUCAGCAUGUCCCUCUGAUGUCCUGGGCUGCACACGCGCUACAAUCGCCAUUACAAUGGGGCGCAAUGGGGUAACCCGGAGCAAAUCCCAAAAAGUGGCGCCAGUUCGGAUUGAGGUCUGCAACCCGACCUCAUGAAGCCGGAAUCGCUAGUAAUCGCGGGUCAGCUAUACCGCGGUGAAUACGUUCUCAAGCUUUGUACACACCGCCCGU